This 406-nucleotide ribosomal RNA is filed under the name uncultured bacterium. RNAcentral's name for it is "partial 16S ribosomal RNA". It matches the Rfam family "Bacterial small subunit ribosomal RNA", at positions 30 to 526 of the family's 1533-position model. The record is from RNAcentral.
AUUGAACGCUGGCGGCAGGCCUAACACAUGCAAGUAGAACGAGUGGCGGACGGGUGCGUAAUGUCUGGGAAACUGCCUGAUGGAGGGGGAUAACUACUGGAAACGGUAGCUAAUACCGCAUACCAUCAGAUGUGCCCAGAGGGGAUUAGCUAGUUGGUGGGGUAACGGCUCACCAAGGCGCCGAUCCCUAGCUGGUGUGAGAGGAUGACCAGCCACACUGGACCUGAGACACGGUCCAGACGCCUACGGGAGGCAGCAGUGGGGAAUAUUGCACACUGGGCUCAAUCCGGAUGCAGCCAUGCCGCGUGUAUGAAGAAGGCCUUCGGGUUGUAAAGUACUUUCAUCGGGGAGGCGUUACCCGCAGAAGAAGCACCGGCUAACUCCGUGCCAGCCGCCGCGGUAAUAC